Acanthosepion pharaonis is the source of this 110-nucleotide non-coding RNA. Lineage: Eukaryota; Metazoa; Mollusca; Cephalopoda; Sepiida; Sepiidae. The record is from the annotation of a GenBank genome assembly.
UGGCUACAUCACGUUGAAACACCAGUUCCCGUACGAUCAACGAAGUUAAGCAACGGUGACCCUGGUCAAUACCUAGAUGAGUGACCUCUUGGGAACAUCAAGUGUUAUAA